UGCAGGUAGAAGCCUUUAGUAUACUAUAAUAAAACGUGCUCAAGACGGACAUUUUGUAUUAUAUAUAGUAUAAAUAAGAAACAUCAGUUUGGGGAAAACAUGGUGAGCAGAGGUAGAAAACUCGGACAUGAAGAUGACUUUUGGGGCACCACCAGCAGAUGCCUGUGGCUGAAGCAGAAGAUAGAUGCAUUCUCAAAGUUUCAGCCUGCUCACAGAUUGGCCACUGCACAUUUCGUGUAUCUAUUUAAUAUUGCCUGGAAAUCUCCAAAGGUUUUACCGAACACCACUUGUUUACUUUGUACCUUGUUUACUUUGCCCAAGUGACAAGUGAGAAACAGGAUUAACCACUUGAGCUCCCCCAAAAAUCGCGUGCCAUGCCAACAGGAAGGAGCUGGUCUGAAGAGGCUUCCUCCCCCAUCUACGUCACUUGCAACACACUCCUGGAGUGGGGUUCUCAUCUAAUUUGAGCAAGGAGACUCUCAGCCCUUGCUACACUAACUAAAACAGGAGUGUCACGCAUGGUCCCUGGUCUCCAACUGCAGUCCAGGUUGUGGAUAGUUAAUGACAGCCAUAAAUGGUCGAGCACAUAUGCCUUAGUCUAAAGAUACUUUCAGACAUGAACAACAUCACUGCAGCCAGGGGAAGACUCCAGGAGGAUGUGGGACUUGUGCCUGGCACUGAGGGGAAAUAAUAUUCAAAACAGCAGAAAAAGUUUUCUUUUGUCUUUAAAUUCGUCAAUUUAAAAAACUGUCUAUAAAAAAACAGUUACAAUAGAAAUUUUCCAGUUGCAUGUGUUGUUGGCAAAUCUGUGUGGAUAAGCUGGUAUAUUAAGCUCUCUAGAUGUGUUAGUUAUACAAUCUAUGAAGACUGGAACUAGG
RNAcentral lists this long non-coding RNA (878 nucleotides) under Homo sapiens (human). RNAcentral's name for it is "HSALNT0247437". Lineage: Eukaryota; Metazoa; Chordata; Mammalia; Primates; Hominidae. The record is from RNAcentral.